AUUGAACGCUGGCGGCAGGCUUAACACAUGCAAGUCGAAGCGGUAAACAGAGAUAGCUUGCUAUCUGCUGACGAGCGGCGGACGGGUGAGUAAUGCUUGGAAUCUGCCUGGUAGUGGGGGACAACAGUUGGAAACGACUGCUAAUACCGCAUAACCUCUUCGGAGCAAAGUGGGGGACCCUCGGGACCUCACGCUACCAGAUGAGUCCAAGUGGGAUUAGCUAGUUGGUGAGGUAAAGG
This 239-nucleotide ribosomal RNA is filed under the name uncultured Gammaproteobacteria bacterium. Its description in RNAcentral is "partial 16S ribosomal RNA". It matches the Rfam family "Bacterial small subunit ribosomal RNA", at positions 30 to 263 of the family's 1533-position model. Lineage: Bacteria; Pseudomonadati; Pseudomonadota; Gammaproteobacteria. The record is from RNAcentral.